AUGGCCGCCUGGUCGGCCGACCUCUCGUCGGCGCUCUACAAGGAAAUGGCGCAUGUGGUGCUCUGCCUCCUAAGUGUCAUGUUCGUCGUCGGGAUGGCGGACUUCAGCCGUCUCCCCGGCUGCGGAAGACCAACGAGGAUGGACCUCCAGGAGCUCGCGGUCCAGGUGCGUUACACCCUCGUCCUCAGCGCCUCCGCGGCCGCUGGGGUACUCUCCUGGCUCGGCAAGGCGGCCGACGACCUGAGCGCCGCUGGGUGGGACUGGGAGAUGCGCGCCAUGUUCAUCGUCGGCCUCAACCUCACCUUAACCUCGACGUUCAUUGCCCUCUCCGCCCUGGUCUUGGAGCUCUCGUGCGACAUCGUCGUCAACUACAUCAUCGCGGCGGCGCUCGUCGGUGCAUCUCGUUGCCGCCUGGGUUGUCCGUAG
This 426-nucleotide ribosomal RNA is filed under the name Triticum aestivum (bread wheat). RNAcentral describes it as "partial small subunit ribosomal RNA". Lineage: Eukaryota; Viridiplantae; Streptophyta; Magnoliopsida; Poales; Poaceae. The record is from RNAcentral.